RNAcentral lists this long non-coding RNA (432 nucleotides) under Phoenix dactylifera (date palm). RNAcentral's name for it is "long non-coding RNA (PDAC_LNC018811)". The record is from RNAcentral. Lineage: Eukaryota; Viridiplantae; Streptophyta; Magnoliopsida; Arecales; Arecaceae.
GGUGGAUUGAAUUGACGGAUGUGAUCAUGGUGGUCCGGUGAGGUGGCAGUAGGCUGCGGUGAUGGGUAGCGGAGGACGGCCGUCGACGUUGUGCCCAAUAAACCGACAGCAGCUCAACCAAAACCAUUCAGUCUCGUACUGGGCAGAUGGAGAUUGGCUGGUUUUGUGAGCGACCAUGACAAGGGAUAGCGUUAGAGAUUUGGAUUCGUCGUUAUUAACAGUCAAAUUAAGGUACAGCGAGAAGCAUGGUCAUAUAUUUACCAAAAAAAAAAAGAAGCAUGGUCAUAAAGCUUCUGCUGAAAAUACUUCUUUUUGAUCUUUUAGUGGCAGUAUUUUCUCAAUAGUAUUAUUAACACUUGUUUUUUCAUAAAGCGCAUUUUUUGAUUAAAAGUCAAAAUGCUUCAUACUCAGUCUCUCACGCAUACCUAAACU